AAAAUCCGUCGACUUUUUAAAUCG
Molecule: transfer RNA, 24 nt
Filed under: Rafnia capensis subsp. pedicellata
Lineage: Eukaryota; Viridiplantae; Streptophyta; Magnoliopsida; Fabales; Fabaceae
Description: partial transfer RNA-Leu (UAA)
Source: RNAcentral